RNAcentral lists this ribosomal RNA (460 nucleotides) under uncultured bacterium. RNAcentral's name for it is "partial 16S ribosomal RNA". It matches the Rfam family "Bacterial small subunit ribosomal RNA", at positions 338 to 795 of the family's 1533-position model. The record is from RNAcentral.
CCUACGGGGGGCAGCAGUGAGGAAUAUUGGUCAAUGGGCGUAAGCCUGAACCAGCCAAGUCGCGUGAGGGAUGAAGGUUCUAUGGAUCGUAAACCUCUUUUAUAAGGGAAUAAAGUGCGGGACGUGUCCCGUUUUGAAUGUACCUUAUGAAUAAGGAUCGGCUAACUCCGUGCCAGCAGCCGCGGUAAUACGGAGGAUCCGAGCGUUAUCCGGAUUUAUUGGGUUUAAAGGGUGCGUAGGCGGCCUUUUAAGGCCGCGGGGAAAGUUUGGGGCUCAACCAUAGCAUUGCCGUUGAAACUGGGAGGCUUGAGUAUGGUUGAGGCAGGCGGAAUGCGUGGUGUAGCGGUGAAAUGCUUAGAUAUCACGAAGAACCCCGAUUGCGAAGGCAGCCUGCCAAGCCGUGACUGACGCUGAUGCACGAAAGCGUGGGGAUCGAACAGGAUUAGAUACCCUAGUAGUC